GACGAACGCUGGCGGCGUGCUUAACACAUGCAAGUCGAACGAUGAAGCCUAGCUUGCUAGGUGGAUUAGUGGCGAACGGGUGAGUAAUACGUGAGUAACCUACCUUUAACUCUGGGAUAAGCCCGGGAAACUGGGUCUAAUACCGGAUACGACCAAUCUCCGCAUGGGGUGUUGGUGGAAAGCGUUAUGUAGUGGUUAUAGAUGGGCUCACGGCCUAUCAGCUUGUUGGUGAGGUAACGGCUCACCAAGGCGACGACGGGUAGCCGGCCUGAGAGGGUGACCGGCCACACUGGGACUGAGACACGGCCCAGACUCCUACGGGAGGCAGCAGUGGGGAAUAUUGCACAAUGGGCGCAAGCCUGAUGCAGCGACGCCGCGUGAGGGAUGACGGCCUUCGGGUUGUAAACCUCUGUUAGCAGGGAAGAAGAGAGAUUGACGGUACCUGCAGAGAAAGCGCCGGCUAACUACGUGCCAGCAGCCGCGGUAAUACGUACGGCGCGAGCGUUGUCCGGAAUUAUUGCGCGUACAGAGCUUGUAGGCGGUUUGUCGCGUCUGCUGUGAAGGCCGGGGCUUAACUCCGUGUAUUGCAGUGGGUACGGGCAGACUAGAGUGCAGUAGGGGAGACUGGAAUUCCUGGUGUAGCGGUGGAAUGCGCAGAUAUCAGGAGGAACACUGAUGGCGAAGGCAGGUCUCUGGGCUGUAACUGACGCUGAGAAGCGAAAGCAUGGGGAGCGAACAGGAUUAGAUACCCUGGUAGUCCAUGCCGUAAACGUUGGGCACUAGGUGUGGGGAACAUUCCACGUUUUCCGCGCCGUAGCUAACGCAUUAAGUGCCCCGCCUGGGGAGUACGGCCGCAAGGCUAAAACUCAAAGAAAUUGACGGGGGCCCGCACAAGCGGCGGAGCAUGCGGAUUAAUUCGAUGCAACGCGAAGAACCUUACCAAGGCUUGACAUAUACUGGACCGCAUCAGAGAUGGUGUUUCCCUUCGGGGCUGGUAUACAGGUGGUGUAUGGUUGUCGUCAGCUCGUGUCGUGAGAUGUUGGGUUAAGUCCCGCAACGAGCGCAACCCUCGUUCUAUGUUGCCAGCACGUAAUGGUGGGGACUCAUAGGAGACUGCCGGGGUCAACUCGGAGGAAGGUGGGGAUGACGUCAAAUCAUCAUGCCCCUUAUGUCUUGGGCUUCACGCAUGCUACAAUGGCCGGUACAGAGGGUUGCGAUACUGUGAGGUGGAGCUAAUCCCUAAAAGCCGGUCUCAGUUCGGAUUGGGGUCUGCAACUCGACCCCAUGAAGUCGGAGUCGCUAGUAAUCGCAGAUCAGCAACGCUGCGGUGAAUACGUUCCCGGGCCU
RNAcentral lists this ribosomal RNA (1347 nucleotides) under uncultured bacterium. RNAcentral describes it as "bacterial SSU rRNA". It matches the Rfam family "Bacterial small subunit ribosomal RNA", at positions 28 to 1381 of the family's 1533-position model. The record is from RNAcentral.